UGGGGAAUAUUGCACAAUGGGCGAAAGCCUGAUGCAGCAACGCCGCGUGAGUGAUGAAGGCCUUCGGGUUGUAAAGCUCUGUCUUUUGGGAUGAUAAUGACGGUACCAAAGGAGGAAGCCACGGCUAACUACGUGCCAGCAGCCGCGGUAAUACGUAGGUGGCAAGCGUUGUCCGGAUUUACUGGGCGUAAAGGAUGCGUAGGCGGAUUUUUAAGUGAGAUGUGAAAACCCUAAGCUUAACUUGGGGACUGCAUUUCAUACUGGAAAUCUAGAGUGCGGGAGAGGAGAAUGGAAUUCCUAGUGUAGCGGUGAAAUGCGUAGAGAUUAGGAAGAACACCAGUGGCGAAGGCGAUUCUCUGGACCGUAACUGACGCUGAGGCAUGAAAGCGUGGGUAGCAAACAGGAUUAGAUACCCUGGUAGUCCACGCCGUAAACGAUGAGUACUAGGUGUAGGAGGUAUCGACCCCUUCUGUGCCGCAGUUAACACAAUAAGUACUCCGCCUGGGAAGUACGAUCGCAAGAUUAAAACUCAAAGGAAUUGACGGGGUC
Molecule: ribosomal RNA, 549 nt
Filed under: uncultured bacterium
Lineage: Bacteria
Description: partial 16S ribosomal RNA
Rfam family: Bacterial small subunit ribosomal RNA
Source: RNAcentral